This 775-nucleotide ribosomal RNA is filed under the name Lactiplantibacillus plantarum. RNAcentral's name for it is "bacterial SSU rRNA". It matches the Rfam family "Bacterial small subunit ribosomal RNA", at positions 10 to 749 of the family's 1533-position model. Lineage: Bacteria; Bacillati; Bacillota; Bacilli; Lactobacillales; Lactobacillaceae. The record is from RNAcentral.
AGUUUGAAUCCUGGCUCAGGACGAACGCUGGCGGCGUGCCUAAUACAUGCAAGUCGAACGAACUCUGGUAUUGAUUGGUGCUUGCAUCAUGAUUUACAUUUGAGUGAGUGGCGAACUGGUGAGUAACACGUGGGAAACCUGCCCAGAAGCGGGGGAUAACACCUGGAAACAGAUGCUAAUACCGCAUAACAACUUGGACCGCAUGGUCCGAGCUUGAAAGAUGGCUUCGGCUAUCACUUUUGGAUGGUCCCGCGGCGUAUUAGCUAGAUGGUGGGGUAACGGCUCACCAUGGCAAUGAUACGUAGCCGACCUGAGAGGGUAAUCGGCCACAUUGGGACUGAGACACGGCCCAAACUCCUACGGGAGGCAGCAGUAGGGAAUCUUCCACAAUGGACGAAAGUCUGAUGGAGCAACGCCGCGUGAGUGAAGAAGGGUUUCGGCUCGUAAAACUCUGUUGUUAAAGAAGAACAUAUCUGAGAGUAACUGUUCAGGUAUUGACGGUAUUUAACCAGAAAGCCACGGCUAACUACGUGCCAGCAGCCGCGGUAAUACGUAGGUGGCAAGCGUUGUCCGGAUUUAUUGGGCGUAAAGCGAGCGCAGGCGGUUUUUUAAGUCUGAUGUGAAAGCCUUCGGCUCAACCGAAGAAGUGCAUCGGAAACUGGGAAACUUGAGUGCAGAAGAGGACAGUGGAACUCCAUGUGUAGCGGUGAAAUGCGUAGAUAUAUGGAAGAACACCAGUGGCGAAGGCGGCUGUCUGGUCUGUAACUGACGCUGA